Chrysemys picta bellii (western painted turtle) is the source of this 1249-nucleotide long non-coding RNA. RefSeq lists it as uncharacterized. The record is from RefSeq and is a predicted model, not a curated record. Lineage: Eukaryota; Metazoa; Chordata; Testudines; Emydidae.
CCCCAGUCAGGUAGCUGCAGCCCAGGCCCCGUGUGGCGGCCUCUGACCUUAACCCUGGCCCCCCUCGCUGAGUUAAUCAGUAAUGGGGCAGCUCCCGGCUGACAUCAAACCAGCAGCUAAACAAACAGCUAAUGGGGCAGGCCGAUGGCUCUGCCCACCCCACCCCCACGGCUCUGCCUGGGUCUCUGGGGGCCGCUAGACCUGUACCUGCCAUGGCCUGUCCUGCCCUCGGCAGCACCAGCAUCCCUUCCUGCCCUGGGACCGGCCCCGAGCCCUGCUGGCUUCUCCGUCCCCGGCAGGGUCUGUGGCCAGACGGGACGUUUGCUGAACGCUCGGCCCUAGUUCAGCAGGAAUUCACUCCGGGCCGGUCUCUGGCCUGGGCGCGACGGGAGAUCGCCACCGGCAACGGCACCAACGCCUUCUACACCAACCCUGCCACGUCAGACAAUCUCUAGGGGCGCCACCCUGAGGACUGGUGGGAGCAGAGCUCCCACCAUCGCCAUGUGCUUCCUGCAGCUCGACUCCAGGGUGCUGGGCAGGGCCGACAAGGCAGCCCCAGGCAGGGGUUUGCUGCACGGGGCAGAGGGGGUAUCAGCCCUGGGGACUCCCCCCCCCUGCAACUCCCGGCCCUGUGGGAGGGGGAGCUGCUCCAGCUCCGAUUGGGCCUGUGGGGCAAGCACUGAUGGGGCAAAUUCCUCCCCCCGCUCCACAAGGGAGGGCAAAGGGGCUGCUCCAAAUAUACCCCACCAACCAGCCUGGGCAGUGCAGGGAAUACGACAGGGACUCCCCAGGGGAGCCCCCCCCCAUACUGUCCCAAGCUGUGUAUGGGGUGUGUCCCUGCUCCUCCCCCCACAACCUCCCCGCAGCCUGGGGAGCUCUCUCUGGCCCAGCUCCUGCCUGUUCCCAGGAGGUGGGGGAGCAUCAGAUGGUUCCGGAGCAGCCGAAUUUGAAUGCAUGAAGGAACUGGAUGAACAAUGCAAGGGAGGGACCCUCCUCUGUCUCCCCCCAAUUCCAAGCCCCUCCUGCCCCCAAUCACUUGCCAAAUGUAUCCUGCCAUGGGGCCCCCAGUAUGCAGUGUUCAGGUUCCAGGGGUCGCGUUUGCCUGCACCACUGGCCUGGGGCUCUGUUUUUAUACCUGUGAUCUGUAACCACUUGGCUCUGUGACGGCCGCCCCACCGUGCAGGGGGGUCACAAUGUCCUUGGGAAGGUCUGUAUUUACAGUGCUGCACAAUAAAGGGAUCUGUGCUGA